Cryptotermes secundus is the source of this 245-nucleotide long non-coding RNA. RefSeq lists it as uncharacterized. The record is from RefSeq and is a predicted model, not a curated record. The transcript is spliced from 2 exons. Lineage: Eukaryota; Metazoa; Arthropoda; Insecta; Blattodea; Kalotermitidae.
AAAUGAUCAUGUCGCAGAAUGAAGUUCUGAAAAAUGUCUUCCAGAAUACAAAUGCUACAACUACAAUGGAUUCGAAUUCAGUUCGUUUACAUCUGUGAGGUCAUUAAGUUCAGAGCAAUCUACUUCCACUAUUUUUUCAAAAGUCCAACCCAUUGUUUGAGGACAGACAAUGAGAAGCAACGAUGAUGGACCUAGGAUAAGGCGACAUGUGACCCGGUCAAGUUUAUUUAAAAAAAAAAAAAAAA